AUGGACCACGCGUCCACUGCGGUUGUGAGCGCGCCGUCCGCACCCACCUGACGACUGCUCGCUACGUUUUGUUCGCC
Molecule: small RNA, 77 nt
Filed under: Acinetobacter baumannii
Lineage: Bacteria; Pseudomonadati; Pseudomonadota; Gammaproteobacteria; Moraxellales; Moraxellaceae
Also listed under: 1 other name
Description: sX9 sRNA
Rfam family: Xanthomonas sRNA sX9
Source: RNAcentral